RNAcentral lists this small RNA (404 nucleotides) under Arabidopsis thaliana (thale cress). Its description in RNAcentral is "ATSL263170". Lineage: Eukaryota; Viridiplantae; Streptophyta; Magnoliopsida; Brassicales; Brassicaceae. The record is from RNAcentral.
UUUGGUAGCGUUAUUCCCAAGUCUUUCAUUGUCAUUCUAAAUUUUACAUAAGUGGAUUUGGAUUUAAACUCGCUGAGUUAUUUUCAGUUUCGUGAGACACGUUUUCUCAGACGCGAGUUAGGACCAGUGGAGAUUGUAACUGAGAUCUUGGUCUUGUCUGGUUUCCGAUCCGCACGAGAUGUCGUGGGAAACUUCGUGACGUCUUAGGCUAGCUUUUCACCGGAGGGAUUUGAUAGUUAACGGUUGGUUUUUAGUUUAGGUUUUCGUCUUUGAGACUGUUUGUUUUUGAUUUUUAUGUCCAGUUUGCUUUUGGUUGUGUGGCUUGUUGUAGGACGUUUCUGGACUGUUUCAGACGUAAGAAGAGUCUCUCCUAGUUAUAGUUGUUGUUAGAAUCAGCUUGUUAU